ACAAAAGAUUUUUUUUUAUUUGGUUGCAGGGUCAUUUGAGAGAGAUCAUCUUCAUCCUACAAUUCCCACGGAUUGAUAAACCUUAGGUCAUCCACUUAAGGGAAAAUUGCUAUUGUCCUACAAAACUCUAUGCUUGGAGGCCCAACACGAGUCUACAAGAAUAAAGUUGCAUAGUAGACAUCAUAUAUAUGGAAUGAAAAAGGCGGACCAAGAUAGAAAACCCUAUGACAAAUACAAAUCCAACAUCAGGAGUUUCAGUUUUUAUUCUACAAAUAAACACAACAAUCUAUAUCAAUCAGUAGCCCUCCCAUGGGAAGGAUAGAAGACAACAAGGUUAUUCAGCAUCCCUUUUCAUAGAUGCCAGCACCAGCAGAGUUGUUGGGUGCGUUGGGCCUUUCAACAAGACUAGCCUUCCUCUGUUCGUAGAUCAACUUCUUAGAUUACCUAAAUCGAGAAGACAAGUUUACAAUGCAGCUCAUAAACAAGGUGGAUAAAAACAUAGUAGUCAAGAGUAAAGAGACUGAAGGCAGUAUGAAGAGCUAGUUGUACAUACCUCUUGUAACACCAACUGAUCUAUUGAUUCAUGUUUCCUUGCUUCUCCUUCUUUUCAAAUCUCCCGACGCUUUAUCCCCCGCCCCAACUGGACUUCUUUGAUGCUUCUGAUUCUACGGAUCCUUUCAGUUUCUCUAGAGCUUAAAUUUUAACAGGACAUCAAGGAAAAAAGCAACAGAAACAAUAUUAGAAUGAAUAAAAAAAUUCAAAGGAUGGCACACCAACAUAAUCUGAUUAAAAUAGGACUAUUAACUCACCGAUCUCAAAAGGUGGGCGAACCCUUUCUAUUGAUUCCCCGGACAGGGAGUGUAGGAUGCAACGAGAAGCCUAGAACCAUCUGCCUUCUUCAACAACUUGUUAAAAAAAUUAACCUACAAAAGAUUUAACCGAGCAACUCAAAUAACAAGAUAUGUAUCACACUGAUAUUAAUUUAUACAUCUGGUAGUAAAACAUUUAACUCCAAAACAAAUAUCAAGGUGAUUCAUCGUUGAUGAAUUUGUAAGCCCGAACGCAAAUUAGGAAGUCCCAACAGUGGCAGUUUUGUACACCAAAUUAUAUAUCAUCAGAAUACUCAAUUUGUUUGUUCCCCAGCAAUCCAAUUAGCCAGCAAUACAUGGACGAGAUCAGUUGUUGUUUUGCAUGUUCUUUACUCAUAUAGUCGUGCAAUGUACAUUAUCAUGGUGUAUUAAUCAAUCAACCAAAGGAAGCACAAUUCUAAAAAUUAAUGUUUCUAUACUUUGUUCUAUAGUUCUAUUAUAUAUGAUGUUGGUGGUCAAAUUCAAUUACUCUCCCGCUGACUGAAACUUAACCUCCCUAAAGCAUGAACCAGACCUGCUCUUAGGUGCAAGCUUUGUUGAUCGAGCAAGUGCAUGUAUACUCUUUUUAUGAUUUUCCUUCCGAUGUAAUUGAGUUUUUACUACCUCAUAACGGAUACACACAAGGAGGCAACCUCAUUCAGCAGUGUAUCAGUACCUUACUCUCACAGAAAGCACAUACUCCCUCCGUCCCAAAAUAAGUGUCGCGGACGUAGUAAAACUUUGUACUACUAACUCUGCAACACUUAUUUUGGGAUGUAGGGAGUACAUCAUGCUGCAUAAUGUAACGAGAGCCGAUGAAGCUUACAUCGAGGUACAUGCAUGAGUAUAGAGACGGUUCAUGAAGAGUUAGAUGAACCAAAUGGAGCACAGAACACCAGCUGCAGAACACAAGAAUAAAAUUUAUAUCUAUUGUUAUGCAAUAGUAAUAAAUCAUGUUUGGCCAGACUCCAAACAAAGCCUCACUAAAUUCUUAAGUCAUUUAGUAACAUGUGAUGCAAAAUAAAAUGGAGCCUCAUCAAAAGAAACUCAUUUCAUCCAACCAAAACAACUGUUAUUUGCAAUUAAUGAUAGAUCUUCAAAUGGUGACCUCUUAUUAAAUAUCCAAUGCUAGUUCAUAAAUUUAUAGAGGUGUAGUCAUGUAGGCCAAAAAUAAUAUCAACAUAGAAUCUCAUGCUUCAUCCAAUGGAACAUAGAUAAUCUACCUAGAUCCAAGUAUGGAAGGAAGAAAUACAAUAUUAUCACCUAUUUCUUUACAUUGCAUGCCACAACAAGUAAAAGCACAAUCCUAUUUCUUUACAUUCGCCCUUUCCUUUAAUACUUGAAGCUAAAAAUGAAAUCCCAUGAAUGAUUUGGUAAAGAACUACGAUUAUCCUUGAAAAAUGCGCAGGUACAUAUGCCAGAACAACACUUACUAUUUUCUAUUACCAUAUCCUUCAUUAAGGAAAAAAAUCCAUACAUAAGCUUGACCUAACCAAAUGACUAACAAACAUGUAGCCAUGGUUAAUACUGCGUGAAUUAUUCAGGAACUUCUCAGCACAAACUCUAUCCACUUCACACUUCUCCUCCGGACUCUAUAAAUUAAAAUAUCACACAUGCACAUGCAAAGGUAGUAGAAGCAAAAAGAACUUACAUUGGAAGGAGGCACAACGAAUCCGCAGCAUGCUUCAGAAGCAACCGAAAGGCAACAGAGCAGAAAAGAACAACUUGGACCGAUGGACGACGACGAAGAAAGCAGAGAUCUAAAGGAGGCAAAAUGCAGUAGUCAGCGAGCAGGUAAAUCAAAAACAUAGCAAACAAUGAUGAUGGACACACCUCAGCCAAACGGUUCCAUGGCAGUCAACCAAAAGAGCGGCAGCAACAAAGAACUAGUGGAGCUGCAGAAGAAAAGAGAGGCAAAAAUGAAAGCAAGGAGAAACCCAAAUUAGUGCAAAGGAAAUGGGGGCAAACCAGAUCCAUACGUGAAAACCAAAUUGACCCAAUCCACGGUGGCACUGCGAAAAAAAGCAAAUCGACGGAAAGGAAAUGGGAGGAGCAGAUCCAUGGCAAGGCAAGGAGGUCGGGUGGCUCGCGGGGCACCAUCUAGGGUUGUCUCCACCACCGCCGCUACAUGGGCUCCCUACCGUCGCACCACCCCGCUUUUCCUCGGCUAGCUGAUGCGUCCAGGCGCGACCGUCGCUGGUGAUGAGAUGGGUGUGACAAGGAGAUGAGGAGGCGAGCAGACAGACAAGGGAAAAAAGAAAGAUGAAGACGGAAGGAGGGGGCUCUCUCCACCCCGUGCAGCACACCGACACACCCAACACGUCGAACAAAGACAAAGACCCACCAAUGAGACAUGGG
Molecule: long non-coding RNA, 3206 nt
Filed under: Triticum aestivum (bread wheat)
Lineage: Eukaryota; Viridiplantae; Streptophyta; Magnoliopsida; Poales; Poaceae
Description: long non-coding RNA (TAES_LNC001599)
Source: RNAcentral